RNAcentral lists this long non-coding RNA (315 nucleotides) under Vigna radiata. RNAcentral describes it as "long non-coding RNA (VRAD_LNC017124)". Lineage: Eukaryota; Viridiplantae; Streptophyta; Magnoliopsida; Fabales; Fabaceae. The record is from RNAcentral.
GACUCGAAAGGCCUUAUCGUUCGCGUGAAUUAAAAUCGUAAGACUUGAAAAUAAAAAUUAAUUAAUUGAAUGUGUGAAUAAAAUAUAAACAUGCAAAAGAGAAUGAUUCAAUUGACAAGAAGAAAACAAUGGAUGAAUGGAGUUGUUGGGGGUUUACAAUUUCAUCUAAUCCGCUCUCUCUUAUUUACUCCUCUUGAAUUAUUAGCUUGAUUAAUUAAUUGUCAUGCAACUUUCUUAGCGUACCCUUAACCCGAUCCCUCGGCGAAAAGAGCCUAAUACUAAUCACUGGCUUGCUAUCCCUAGCCUCCCCUAGCA